Molecule: long non-coding RNA, 18575 nt
Organism: Gorilla gorilla gorilla (western lowland gorilla)
Lineage: Eukaryota; Metazoa; Chordata; Mammalia; Primates; Hominidae
Exons: 4
Source: RefSeq, a predicted model, not a curated record
UGUGAGGUAAGAGGCGCGUGAGGCUCCUGUGCCGGGGGCGGUGCUGCUCCCGAGUCGGCGCGCGGCGGGGACGCGAGUCGAGUUUCUCUCCUGUCACAAUGGCAUGAUCUCGGCUCACUGCGACCUCUGCUUCCUGGGUUCAAGGAUUCUCCUGCCUCAGCCUCCCAAGUAGCUGGGAUUACAGACAUAAGCGUCUUGCUAUUUGCCCAAGCUGGUCUUGAACGCCUGAUCUCAAGUGAUCCACCCACCUUGGCCCUUCAUGUGGGAAAUUAGAAACCAAAAUCCCCUGUGAAUCCAGCGCACUGGAGGUUCAUUCUCCACACCCAAGGUGAGGCAGCCACAGGGCCAAGCUGCGGUCUUGGAACAGAAAUGUAGCAUCAGGAAAGCAACUAGAACACCCGCCACACUGAUAAUAACCUCCGUAGUACUAAUAACACUGCAUCUGUGAUGCUAGUGUUAGCACCCGUUGUAUACAGAGAGGCACACCCGUCGGGGUAACUCGGAAGCUGCCGUCCACAUCCAACCCCGGGAACAUGGAUGUGUCCCUCAGUGCGCACAUAACGCUUGGAACGUGGAGGUGACAUCGUCACCUAAUGCUACACCCGUCACACUCAUAUAAUCCCCAGAACACGCAUGUGUCCCUCAGAGCACACACGUAACCCCUGGAAUGCCCGUGACACAGUCAGACUCACGCCACACCCGUCACACUCAUAUAACCCCCGGAACACGCAUGUGUCCCUCAGAGCGUACAUACCACCCGGGAUGCAGACAUGGCCUUUGCAGCCCACACGAGAGGGUCUGCAGCUCUGAGGAUGGAACCUUCCGGCUCUCACUGGGGCGCUGAGUUGACAGCCUCUGCUGGCCUGGGUUUGGGCUGCAUUUGGCCUCUGUCAUGAAACUUCAUGUUGUUGUCUCUGCCUUACUGACGUGGUAUUGCCACAGUUGUUUUAAAAAGUAGUUUACUUCCCAAUAAUGUCAUACUUCUGGGAAACUUGCAACAGCACUUAGUAUGCCUUCUCCUUUAUCUCCAAUUCCCCAGCUGUUAUUGCUGUGCCAGAUUUGCAGCUUCACAAAAAAUACCCCCGUGUGUUUCACCAAAAGCAGGAAUACUUCUCCAGGUGAUCCCCAAAUAACCCCCAAUUUAGAAAAUACACAGUUUCUAUGUGAAAAUCCAGUCUACAGACCUAUUUCACUUCACUCCCUGCCCUAGGUGGGAGAAAAAUGUCUAUUUCCAUGCGGGCCCAAUUUUCCUUUUCGGGAACUGUUCCUGAGACUCAGUUUUCUGUUUUUUUUGUGUGUGUGUGUGUGUUUUUUGACGGAGUCUCCCUCUGUCACCCAGGCUGGAGUGCAAUGGCGCCAUCUCUGCUCAUUGCAACCUCUGCCUCCCAUGUUCAAGAUAUUCUUCUGCGUCAGCUUCCCGAUUAGCUGUAAUUACAAGCACCUACCACCACACCCAGCUAAUUUUCUGUAUUUUUAGUAGAGAUGGGGUUUCACCAUGUUGGCCAGGCUAGUCUUGAACUCCUGACCUCAGGUGAUCCAUUCGCUUCAGCAUCCCAGAGUGCUGGGAUUACAGGCGUGAGCCACUGCAUCCGGCCGACUCUCAGUUUUCAUAGCCUCAACAGAUGUAAAGAGCAGAGAUGACUCCAAGCUGGGUCUGCCCAGCGUUUCCUCCUAAACAUGUGCAGAUCCUGUGUUCCUGGCAGGAACAUCCUGGCCUGGUGCUGCGCUCUCCUCACUGCAGCCCACUUGGAGGAGCACCCAUCCAUCCCACCACCACUGGCGAUCUCACUUGGAAAUGGCAAAUAUUCAUUUACAAUCACAAAUUUCAUCCUGUCAAGCUCCGCAUUUCACUUUGUGAAUGGUUUUCCCUGGCCUUAGAACCAUGGACUCCAGACCCCGAGUUCUCCUGCCUGCUGUCCUCUCCCAUCCAGUCUGCUACAGCUGCCUGCAGUCCCACUCAUGGGGACAUGGACUCCCAGGUGUCUUGGGGAUUUUAUGUGGGUUCCCCGAACCCAUUCACCCAGUGCUGACCGUACUUUUUUAAGGCUUUUUCUAGAUAAGUCCUUCAAGUCACAGCAGUUAUGAUAUCUAAAAGUAGAAAAGUUAAAGUUGAUUUUCUAAAGACAAAAAAAUAAUUCAUUAUUAGAUCGUCUGUGAGAAGACCCUCAAUUUUUUAAUUUUUUUUUUGAGGAUAGAGUCUCCCUAUGUUACCCAGGCUGGAGUGCAGUGGCAUGACCUUGGCUCAGCACAGUCUCCACCUCUCAGGUUCAAGCAAUUCUCCUGUCUCAGUCUCCUGAGUAGCUGGGACUACAGGCACCUGCCACCAUGGCUGGCUAUUUUUUGCAGUUUUAGUGGAGAUGGGGUUUCACCAUGUUUGCCAGGCUGGUCUUGAUCCCCUGACCUCCAGUGAUCUGCCUGCCUUGGCCUCCCAAAGUGCUGGGAUUACAGGUGUGAGCCACCGUGCCCAGCUGCCCUCAAUUUAUAAAUCAAGGAAAUACUAGUUCUCUGGAACCAAAGUUCAUGUUUGAAAUAAUUAGGAAAGAAAAAUAAAAUCUCAUUGCUGAAAGAAAGGCAAAUAGCACAAUUGAUUAUUGAAAUUGCAGAAGAGGGCUGGGUGCAGUGGCUCACUCCUGUAAUCCCAGUACUUCGGGAGGCUGAGGCAGGCAGAUCACCUGAGGUCAGGAGUUUGAGACCAGCCUGGAUAAGAUGGUGAAAUCCCAUCUGUACUAAAAAUACAAAAAUUAGCCUGGUGUGGUGGCACGCACCUGUAGUCCCAGCUGCUCGGGAGGCUGAGGCAGGAGAAUCGCUUGAACCCAGGAGAUGGAGGCUGCAUUGAGCCGAGAUCGUGCUACUGCACUCCAGCCUGUGUGACAGAGUGAGACUCCGUGUAUAAAAAAAAAAAAAAAAAUUUUUUCAGAAGAAUUUACUGGACAGACUGUUACCUUGCUGUAUUCUCUAGCCCUGUGUUAGCAGUUACAAGGUAUUUUAGGUUUAAACACUUAUAUUUUAGUCAUUCGGUAUAGUUAACUACAAAAAAGUCCUGUCCACAUCAUGACAACCUAUAUAAAAUUUGGAAACCUCUUCAUCUAUGCAAUGGAAAAUUGGUAAAGUAAGUGUAGAUAUUUAAGUUGAUGAAUUAUUAAUAUUUAGGUACUGAAAUGAGUGAGGGAAUGUAAUUAUGUCAUAGUUCUGGCAUGGGACUUGGGGGGGCUCCCUCUGUUGCCUCUUGCUGGAUGACAAAUUCGUGACCUGUGGAGACUGAAGGAUAAACUGUCACCUUCAUCGGAAACCCUAGUCCAGAAGGAAAGUCCUCAUUUCAGGAUAUACCACUUUGUCCCAUGCAUUUCCUUUUUCUUGUUCUGUUUUUUGGAGACAAGUCUUGCUCUUUCGCCCAGGCUGGAGUGAAGUGGCCUGAUAUCGGCUCACUGCAACCUCCAUCGCCCAGGUUCAGGCAAUUUUCCUUCCUCAGCCUCCUGAGUAGCUGGGAUUACAGGUCUGCACCACCACACUGGCUAAUUUUUUUUUUUCCUUUUAGGCGAAGUUUCACUUUUGUUGUUAAGGCUAGAGUAUGAUGGAGCGAUCUCAGCUCACCACAACCUCUGCUUCCCAGGUUCAAGUGAUUCUCCUGCCUAGGCCUCCUGAGUAGCUGAGAUUACAGGCAUGUGCCACCAUGCCCAGCCAAUUUUGUAUUUUUAGUAGAGAUGGGGUUUGUCCACGUUGGUCAGGCUAGUCUCGAACUCCCAACCUCAGGUGAUCCGCCUGCCUCAGCCACCCAAAGUGCUGGGAUUACAGGUGUGAGCCACAGAGCCUGGCCCUAAUUGUUUUAUUAUUUCCUAGAGAAAAGGUUUCACCAUGUUGGCCAGGCUCGUCUCCAGCUCCUGACCUCAAGUGAUCCAUCUGCCUCAGCCACCCACAGUGCUGGGAUUACAGGCGUGAGCCAUCUUACCUGGCCCUUUUUAUUUUUAUUUUUAUUUUUGAGACAGGGUGUUGCACUGUUGCCCAGUCUGGAAUGUAAUAGUGCGAUCUCAGCUUACUGCAACCUCCACAUUAUGGGGUCAAGCAGUCCUUCUUCCUCAGCCUCCCAAGUAGCUGGGACUGCAGCUGUGUGUCUCCGCCUGUUUUCUUUGUCGGGUUUUCCUGCUACUGCCUUAGGUCCCCGACUUGCCCCGCUUAGGCUUGUGAGACCUCCUCACUGUUGGUUGAGGUACAUGUGUGGUGAUCAAUCCAAAUCCACUCUGGCACCAGCCUCCUUCCUGCCAUCCCAGGCAGGCUGACAGCAGUCACGUUUGUACCUACUGUGCCUGCCUAUCUCUUUUGAGUGUCCUUCCCUGCCCUAAUCUGUACUUAUGGUGCCAGGUUUCUCUUAAGAAUGUCCCCUUUGUCCUUAUCAGCAUGUAGCUAGCAAUAUUCUGACAUUUUUAUUGCAGAGUGAAUGAUGAUUGGGGCAUCUUAAGAGGAGUUCUAGGGUGUUUCUUUCUGCAUAGGUACCUCUUGUCCCUUCUACCCACAACUGACAAGUGCCUAUCCACUCCAGCACUAGAGAUGCUACUAAUAUGUGAAUUUUUGGUGGUCCCUCCAGGUGAGCCUUCCCAGACUUUCUCUUUUCCAGGAGCUCCCCCUCCUGUUCAUGUAUAGCUAUCUAUAUAAUCUAACAGAGCCCACUAUCCUGUGCCUUUCCCAAAAAUAGUGAGGGAACAAUUAAUUGGAAACCAUAAGAAAUGAUAUGCAUGUAGAUGAAAACUUUACAACUUACACAAAUAAUCACUCAAAAUCAUCCUUACACUAAAAAUGCAAAACUAUACAAUUUCUAGAAGAAACUAUAGAAGAAUAGCUCUGUGCCUUUGGGUUUGGUAAUGAAUUUUAACAAAUGACACAAAAGGCAGAUAUACACAGAAGAAAUGACGAUAUGGAUUUCUUAAUAUUUAAAGUUUAUACUCUGGAAAAGACCAAGGUAAGAGAAAAAAAAGACACGCCACAUAUUAAAGAAAAUAUUUGCAAAAUACAGAUCUGAGAAAGAAUUUGUAUUCAAAAUAUAUUAAAAAGUUCUUAAAACUAAACAAUAAGUUAAACAGUCCAAUUAAAAAUGCACACAGAUCUGAACAGACACCUCACCAAAGAAGAUCUACAGAUGGCAAGUAAACAUACAAAAAGAUGCUCAACAUACUAGAGAACUGAAAACCACAAUGAGAUAGCACAGCUGGUCUAUAUCUCUUAGAACUGCUAAACUCUUUAAGAAAUGACAAAUUGCUAGAGGAAAAACAAGAACUCUUUUCUUGCAGGUGGAAUACACUGUAUAAGAUCAAAAUAUGCCACCCCAAAAUAUAAUGGUAGGAAACCAGAAUAUGCCACCGCAAAAUAUGUCCCUUUGGCUUAAGAAUUAUUCCAAGCUGAUUAUUUUGGGAAAAAAAAUGCUAACAAGGGAAGUUCUGAAAACAGAGUAGAAGUUACCCUUGUGUAAAGAAAAUUUACAUCUAUAAAGGAAAUCCCCAUUUAAAAGCUACCUCUCUCGACACCAAGAAGAGAAGGAUAACUAAAUCACUACAGAGUCUUAUCAAUGGAGAACGUGUGGACUUCAGUCUGUAUAACAUCCUUACCCUUGUCUACUGUGCUUUUGCUAGUUAACUCCCCACUAAUGCACCUCAAAUCUUCUAUCUUUAAGUUGAAGAUAGCAUUUAUGCUUGAAUUGAAAGCCACCUGUUGGAGAUUUACUCAUUUACUCAGAUUUACUGAGUAUCUCCCAUGUAUCCAUAAGGUAUACAUGUUUUUAAACUUUUCUGUUUUUCUCAUUUUAAUCUGUUAGUUUUUACAGAGGGUCCCAUCUAAGAAUUCCAAAAACAAAGAAAAUUAUUCUUCCUCACCUAUUACAAGUUGGGCAUUUUUUUCCAAAGCUACACAAGUCUCACCUUACAAUCCAAAAAUCACAUUCCUAAGUAUUUUGACAGCUACUUUGAUGUUAUUUCCAAACAAAAGCUGCCAUGCAAUUAUUUACAGAAGCCCUAUUCCAUAAUGACCAAAGGAAAAAAAUGUAAUCAGAAAGUCUUACAAUAGAUGACUGUGUGGGAAUCCACUCAGACAUCAAAAGUUGUUAUAAAGAUUAUUUAAAUGAAAACAUUUGAGAUACUGAAGAUAAAGGAAGAAAUCUUACCAGAACUUACUUUAUCCAAUUAAAGCAGAGCUCCCAGAAAAAUACAGCUGCCAUUAACCCCAUCCAAGGAGUUUCUUGCAAAUUCGGCUGCCAUGAAGACAGCGUACUCUUUCCCAUUAUCACUGAUAAAUGAAAAUGAAAUCCUAAGCUCCCAACUGACUGAACAGACCCACUCUUGGCUGAGGGGAGCCCAGAGUAACUUUCAAAACUGAGUUCUCAGCUUGGCCAGCAUGGGAUGAUGGGAGUCAGAUACACCUUGUUGUACUCUCUCCUUUGCUAACCAUGAUGAGGCUUUCUUCCAUAAGAAUUUAACAGAAACCAACCCUUUAAAAAGACUCCACCACUGAUAUCAACCAACUGCCUGAAGCCACCUCUCCUUUCUUGCCUGAUAAGAGACCACCCAUGACGGAGACGUUCUGGCCAGCGUACAGAGGACGCACGGAUUGAGUUUUCAUGUCCUCUGCUUCACCUUUUAAUGUUAGGGGGCUGAAAACUCCAUGCUGGGAUCAUGCUAACACUGCCAAUUUUUGUACAUGGGACCCAUGAAGGAGCAAGACACUCAAUUGCGCAUGCACGCAUUUCUCCUUUCAUAAAUAUUCAUGACUCCUCCUAGAGCUUAUUAAAUAUGUGUAUUUGGCCAUGCCACUCAGUAUAAAUUACUGUUUCCAUUAACUCACAUUUGAAAGUGUCUGUUUCUGGCUUCUGGCUGGACGCUAUACGUCCUAGCCUGUCAGAAGAACUACCCUGCAGGCUGUAACCCUUUAUAGGAAAUAAAUCUCUCAUUGGAUGCAGUGGCUCAUGCCUGUACUCCCAGCACUUUGGGAUGCCGAGGUGGGUGGAUCAUCUAACAUCAGGAGUUCGAGACCAGCCUGGCCAACAUGGUGAAACCCUGUCUCUACUAAAAGUAUAAAAAUUUAGCUGGGCAUGGUGGUAUGCAUCUAUAAUCUCAGCUAAUUGGGAGGCUGAGGCAGGAGAGUCGCUUUAACCUGGGAGGUGGAGGUUGCGGUGAGCCAAGAUCAUGCCAUUGCACUCCAGCCUGGGCAACAAGAGUAAAACUCCGUCUCAAAAAAAAAGAAUAAACAUAAAAAUAAAGAAAUCUUUCGUUUCCAAAUAUAUGAAAUUCAUCGCUCUUCAGUUGACAGCAUUAAAAUGUUCAAAAAGACCUUCCAUACUAUCCCACAGAAGCCCUAGAAAUUGUCAUUUUGUUACUCAUUUUGGAUGCCUGAGAACUUGUAAUCAAAUGAGUAGAAAUGUUGGUACCCCAUCUGUGGCUGUCAUCCUCCCAGUUCUCAGUUUAUAUAAGCCUAAAUCUGAAAAGGUCUCAUCGCAUAAGGACCCUUGUCUCUUUUUCUGUUGCCUUUAUCCACUGGCUCUGGCAACAGGGGUCUUUCUUUCUCCUUGGCUAUCUUUGGAUAUAGGGGCUCCAUCUUCUGUGACACCUUAGGGAAUACCUUUUGCAUGCAUGGCUAAGUCAUUAAAAAGCCUAAAGUUUGAGUAACAUUUUGAGUGAGUACUCUCUGAAGCUGGGUUGGAAUCUCAGUCUUCUUUGUCUAGAAGGUAACUCUCAGGCUAGAAGUUUCUUAUCCUAGCUUUCGUUUUGAGGCCUCUCUGUUCUCCUCUUGGGUUGGAACUUAUUCCUGGAUUUUGUUUCAUGGUGUCUCUUCCCCUUCCAUCAGAUCUUGAUCUUGCUCCUUUCAUGGGAACUUCUCAGUUGACUAAAAUCUCCCUUCCCAAACCUCCGCUGACUAUGUGUUCCACCAAUAAGGAACUAAUCCUGUCUACUUCUUUUCCUGUUUGCAUGACUUUACUAAGAAUUAUUUAGAACUUUAAUGGCUCCUUUGAGAAAACUUUUAUCUCUCAAAUUGCCUCCGUUUAGAUGUUUCCUUUCCCAGUUGAGUCUCUCAACUACCUAUAAUCACUGAAACUUUAGGCACCCCCCUCCAUGCCUUGGAGGCUCUCAACGUGCUCAAGAAUCUACAAAAGCAAACAAUUGAGCCUGAAAAAUAAAAUAGAAAAAUAAUUUUAAUUCUCAGCCUUCAUAAGAUUGUAUGUCAAGACAAAAGAAAAUCUUAAAAAUCUCCAAAAAUAUUGGUGAGAAAAAAGCUUUAGCCCUCAUAUAAAGAAGAUGAAAACUUGUUCCAUUUUCCAGAAACAGUUAUAAUACAAAUAUAAAAUGGGGCAAAGGCAAAAACUAACUCUUCCAUAUAAACUAGUGAAUUUUGUGUUAUUGUAAUCACAUUAGGGUUCUCCAGAAAGGCAGAAUCAAUAGGAUAUAUGUAGAUAGAUAGAUGAGAGAAGACUCAUUAGGGGAAUUGAUUGACAUAAUUAUGGAGGCUGAGAAGUUCCACGAUAGGCUCUCUCCAAGUUGGAGAACAGGGAAAGCUGGUAGCAUGGCUCAGUCCAUGUCCAAAGGACUCAGAAUCAGGGAAGCCAGUGGUGUAACUAAAGCUCCAACGUCAAGGGCAGGGGAGGAAGGAUAUUUCAGUUUCAGAAAGAGAUAAUUCACCUUUCCUCUUCCUUUUUGUUCCAUCUGGGCUCUCAAUCAGUUGGAUGGUGCCUGUAUUAGUCCACUUUUAUACUGCUAUGAAAAAAUACCUGAGUCUGAGCAAUUUAUAAAGAACAAAGAGGUUUAGGCUGGGCACAGUGGCUCAGGCCUGUAAUCCCAGCACUUUGGGAGGCUAAGGUGGGUGGAUCAUGAGGUCAGGAGAUUGAGACCAUCCUGGAUAACACAGUGAAACCCCGCCUCUGCAAAAAAUACAAAAAAUUAGCCAGGGGUGGUGGCAGGCACCUGUAGUCCCAGCUACUCAGGAGGCUGAGGCAGGAGAAUGGCGUGAACCGAGGAGGCAGAGCUUGCAGUGAGCCGAGAUCACGCCACUGCAUUCCAGCCUGGGUGACAGAGCCAGACUCCAUCUCAAAAAAAAAAAAAAGAACAAAGAGGUUUAAUGGUCUGGCAGUUCCAUAUGGCUGGAGGGGCCUGACAAUCAUGGCAAAAGAGGAAGCGAAGAGUCCUUCACAUGGCAGCUGUAAGGAGAAGUGCUGAGCAAAAGGGGAAAAGCCCCUUGUAGAACCAUCAGAGCAUGAGAACUCACUCACUAUCAUGAGAACAGCAUGGCAGUAACCACCACCAUGAUUCAAUUACCUACCACAGGGUCCAUCCCUCAACAUGUAGGGAUUAUAGGAACUACAAUUCAAGAUGAGAUUUGGGUGGGGACACAGCCAAACCAUAUCAGUGCCUAUCCACAUUGGGUCAGGGUGGAUCUUCCUUAUCUCAGUGUCUUGCAGAAACACCCUCACACUUAUGCCCAGAAAUUGUGCUUUUCCAGCUAUGUUAGUAUCUAUUAAUCAAGCAGAUGUCUAAAAUUAACCAUCAGAAUAUGUAUGCCUGAUUCAUGGCUAAUAUUUCAGGAUGAAAGCUAUGAGACCUCUAUUUGUGUUUGUAUGUAUAUUAAUGUAUGUUAUGUAUAUGUAAUUUUUCUUCACUCCGGAGAGCAUGGCAAAAUUCACUUAUAAAAUCUUCUAAAAGUGCUCUAUUCUAACUUGGCUUGGAAAAAAAACAAGCAUUUAUAAAUAAAUAUUCCCCAAACUCCAAUAAAUAUAGGAACUGUUCCAAAUGUUUUUCAAGUUAAUACAAUUUCGAUAAAACUUGGUUAAAUAAGAGUAAUUUUAUAUCUUUGGUGUAAUAAAACAACUAUGUCUUCAGAGUUAUCACUAUUAAAUAUAAAACAAAUUUCUAUUCUGCUUGAGUUCUACUCAAAUAAGCUAAUAUUAUACUUACUAGAUCCUUAAAAUCUUAAAUCUUAUAGAUUUGAUUCUAAUUGUCAUUCUUAUUAAAAGCAUUAUUUCAAUAAUAAUUUUUUACAGUAAAUCUGCCUAAUAAUAGUUUCCAAAAUACUUUUGGUAAUUUUUAACCUUAAAGUUAAGCUAAGUAAAAGAUUUGCAUUCAAUAUCUAGAUCAUUUAUAAAUAAGAUACGAUACUAAAACAUUAAUUACUGAACAUAAGUAAUUCAAGUUUAUAUACUUCGGCUUCUUGUUUUUACAGAGAGACUAAAGAUAUUUUGGCCCUUUAAUAAACGUAUUUUUGUCUACCACACUGAGAAAUUGUACAAUGAGGAAACACAUCCCUCUAGAUGUUGGGAGAUGGUAUACUCAUACAUUUUCUAAUCUACUAUAGAAUGUUAAUGUAUGACAGUUUAAAAUUGUCUUCUUCCUAGUUUCUCUGGAAAAUAGAGAUUACUAAGUAUUAAAAACUAGAAGCAACUCUAUGAAAAGUAUGCAAAAAGCAGGGCAUGUUUUGCAGGUAAAGUAGGAUGUGUUUUUUAUAAGAAAAACCAUACAAAAUAUAAAAUAAAAAGAGAUAUCUAACCUUCCCUGGGUUAUAUUUGUAUGGGUAAAAUGUUAUGUUUUCAGAAAUUGUAUAAAAUUACUGGAAAUUUGUCAAUAUCCUCCUUAUCCAUGCUAUGUGCCGGUAUACUGUUUUGAGUCAUAAUUUCAAUUAUUAUUUUAAACGUUGUAUGCCACCAAAAAAAUCCAAUAUCCUUGUCAGUUGUGGUAUAAUGAACUCUCAUCUGACCUUUCAUCACAGCCAUUUCAUAUUCUUUGGCAUUCAGAUACUAUUUCCCCCUGAUACUUUCCUGAAAGCUCCUGCAAUCAGCUACAGGUCAGAAUGUUUGUCUCCAACACAGGACUCACUCUGAGACUCACGGAAAAGCCUAUGACAGGUACUCUGGUUAUAGGCUUCUGAUGAUAUUGCUUAAAUAACUUUAAGACCAUACACUUGACUCAGUGAAGAUCUCCAGAAGUCUGGUUGAGAAAUCGAUGGGUUCGUGACACUACUAACCCAAGAUCCAGCAAGACUGGAAUUGAUUACAUGGCACUGAAUGAAGUGAUGAAAAUUGAUUAUAAUUUUAUAGCUUUUUUGGAGCACUGCUGGUUCUUUAAUGUUCUAGUUUCUGGAUUUAAGAAAUCUCUUUCUCUUAAGCUAACUAUAACUCACAAAAAUUUAGUAGAUUAUAGUUUUGUAAACAGAAAUGAAGCAUUUAUCUUUUUUUCCCUGCCUGAUUUCUCCAGAAUUUUGAAAAUCUUACUGAAUACUCUUAUUUUCAUGACAAUAUAGUUGUUAGCAAAAGUCCAAUAAGCAUCUGUUCACCUUAUAGCAAGACAUAAUUGGAAACUUUGGUUAUAUUAUCAAGGCUUUUACUGGAAUAUCAUAUUUAGGAAUAGUAUACCUGAGAUCAGUUAUGACCAGCAAUUUUAAGGAACUAAGACUGACUUUUAUGAAGCCAAUGCUUACAAAGCACUUUGAGAAAGCCAGCCUGGUACCUACAUUACAGGGUUCACAGCCUUACAGGUUAGUAAAGAAGGUAAUUUCCUGCUAGGCCCAGGAAUUUGGGGAUAUUUUGGGGGCGUCAAGAAGAGAGGAAUUCACAUAAAGCUACAAUGACUGCAGCUGAAAUUUGAAAGUAUGUUCUUGGCUUGGCUUUUAGCCUCAAUAAGGCCUUUAAAAGUCCAAUCUAAGAUUCUGUAUGAAAACUUCCAGCGAAGAAGCUUGAAAGCACCUACGUGGUCAGCUCCUGUUCUUGCUGCACUUACAUAAAUAUUCAGGCAAAAUCUAACGAAACUAGACUUAUUUUUAAAACAAGAAUAAUCUUACAUUGAUUAUCUAUGAUCAAAAAUGAUGGGUACUACAGAGAGGAAUUUUAUGUUUCAAUGGAAAACUAUAACUCAGCCGCGCAUGGUGGCAUAUGCCUAUAAUUCCAGCACUUUUGGAGGCCAGAGUUCAAGACCAGCCUGGGCCACAUGGCAAAACCCCACCUCUACUAAAACCGCAAAAAUUAGCUGGGCAUGAUGGCAUGUUCCUGUAGUCCCAGCGAAUCAGGAGGCUGAGGAGGGAGGUUCGCUUCCACCCAGGAGGUAGAGGUUGCAGUGAGCUGGGAUUGCACCAUUGCACUCCAGCCUGGGCGACAGAGCCAGACUCUGUCUCAAAAAAAUUGCUUUUAAAAAGGAAAACUAUAGCCCUUGUGGGUUAUCAGAUUCUAGUCUUGUUUCUCAUUUUGGGCUAUUUUCACCUCUUUGUAAACUGGAUCCUGCCAUCUGAUGAAUUUUGUCCCACAAUGAUACUUGUGGAAUAAGAAGCCAAGUAUUGCCUCUCCUACUAAUGUAUCUAUUGUCAGUUAAUUUGAAGGUCUCCAAUGCUGGAACAAAGUUAGAAGAGGAAGGUUUUGCUCCCUAAAAUGCAUAACCAAAUUGUGGUACAUUCAUGCAAUGGAAUACUAUUUAGCCAUAGAAAGGAACAAGCUAUCAACUCACACAAAGACAUGAGUGAAUCUUGCAUGCACAUUACUGAGUGGAAGAAGACAGUCUGAGGAGAAUACACAUAGUGUGACCUCAUUUAAUGAGAUUCUGGAGAAGGCAAAUUGCACAGAUGGGAAAGCCAUUGGCUGCAUGGGGUGGGGGUUUGAAGCAUUCCAUAUGAUUCUUUAAUAAUGGAUACCUGCAACUAUGCAUUUGUCAAAACACACAGAAUUUUACAGCAAAAUGGUAAAUCAAACUCUAUUCAAAUUAAAUUAAAAUAUUCAGGAUGUGGAGUAUCCCAGCACAGAAUACAUCAUGUGAAAAAGAAUUUAACUAUGCUACAAAUUACUAAGGUUUGGAUGUGGUUUGUCCCUGCAAAAUCUCAUGUUGAAAUUUGACCCCCAAUGUGGCAGUGUGGGGAGGUGGGGCCUAGUGGAAGGUGUUUGGGUCAUGGGAUGGAUCCUUCAUGAAUAGAUUAUUGUCCUCCACAGAGGUGAGUGAGUUCUGCUUUCACAGGAAUGGAUUAAUUCCUGCAAGAGUAGGUAGUUAAAAAGAGUCUGACUUCCUUGGCUUCCCUGUUGCUUUUGCUCUUGCUAUGUGAUCCCUGGUGCACUCCCUUGUUCCCCUUCCACUUUCCACCAUGAGGUGAAAAAGACUGAGGCCCCACCAGAUGCCUCUGCCCAAUCUUGGACAUUCCGACCACCAGUAUUGUGAGCCAAAUGAACGUUUUUUACUUAUAAAUUACCCAGCCUCAGGUAUUCUGUUACAGAAGCACAAAAUGGGCUUAUUUAAAACAUUGUUAUAUUUUUGAACACUUCCUUGUUUAAUUAUUUAUACCAUGAAUUACUAGUAAUUUACACUGUUAAAUAGUCCUGUCUUUUAAAUAAGAGCAUUUAUGACACAAAAAAUUAAACAAUACAGACUGAUAUAUAAAUCAAAACAAAUGCUCUUUACAUGUUUUAUGUUACAGUAGUAACACAUGUGUGUAAACUUAUUUAUCACAUUUUUUUCUUGUGCUGUGGUUGUGGUUCAUUCUCUAAAAUGCUGUUCACCUUAGAACAGGAAAAAAAUAAUCUUACAGACUCUCUUUCAAUUCAUGGCUAAAUAUUUUCAGAAGAGUGAUGUAAAAAUAUGUUCCAAUGGCAAAUUGAUUCAUUGUGACUGGAUCACUUAUUCAAAAGACCUCUUGUCUUUAUUUUGUUAUCAUGCCUACCUUUUACCCAUAAUACAACAGAAUCAAAUAUUGGCCACUGGGAAAAAAUAUUCAAAGAAAGAAAGAAUGUGAACAGAACUUGUGACCAUUAUGAUUCAAUGUUUCACCACAAUGCUUUCUAAAACAGAAGAGUGUAAAAGGAUAUUCAAAGUCAAUUUCCUCAGCAAGGCUUUGCAGAAAAUGAGGAAACUAGAGAAACAAAAAUGGCAGGACAUUCUACAGGUGAUUUUAGAUGUUGCUAUGUUAAAAUAUUUUAGCUUUUAAAGAAUCACAAAGAAUUAUUAGAAACCCAAACUUCGGAAUGUUUCCAAAUUUAGUUGAACUUCAGUGUAAUUGUGUGUAUAUAGCUAGUCAUGAAAUUGAUGUUUUUUAAAAAAUCUGUGCCUUAUUUUAGUAAUAAAAUACACAAUGAAUAAUUAAUGCUCAUAGGAAACCAUGUUAGACCUUACGAAAGAAAAAUCAAUCUUGGGGUCCCAAAAUCACUAAGCUAAAGGGAAAAGUCAAGCUGGGAACUGCUGAGGGCAAACCUGCCUCCCAUUCUAUCCAAAGCCACCUGUCUGCUCAUAAAUGCAUAUCUGAUUGCCUCAUUUGGAGAGGGUAAUCCGCAGCUCAAAAGAAUGAAACCAUUGGUCUCUUUUCUACCUAUGACCUGGAAGCACCCUGUUUGGCCUUCUCUUCAAGUUGUCUCACCUUUCUGGACUGAACCAACGUACAUCUUUCACGUAUUGAUUGAUGUCUCAUGUCACCCUAGAAUAUAUAAAACCAAGCCGUGCCCCAACCACCUUGGGCACAUGUUGUCAGGACCUCCUGAGGAUGCAUCACAGGCAUGCAUCCUCCAACUUGGCAAAAUAAACUUUCUAAAAAAUCUGAGACCUGGCCGGGCAUGGUGGCUCAUGCCUUUAAAUCCCAGCACUUUGGGAGGCCAAGGCAGGCGGAUCACCUGAGGUCGGGAGUUCGAGACCAGCCUGACCAACAUGGAGAAACCCUGUCUGUACUAAAAAUACAAAAAUUUGCCGGGUGUGGUGGCACAUGCCUUUAAUCCCAGCUACUGGGGAAGCUGAGGUAGGAGAAUUACUUGAAACCAGGAGGCAGAGGUUGCAGUGAGCCAAGAUCGCACCAAUGCACUCCAGUUUCGGUGAAGAAGCGAUACUCUGUCUCAAAAAAAAAAAAAAAAAAAGAAAAGAAAAAAAAGAGAAAGAAAAGAAAAAGAAAAUCAUAAUUGUGAAGAAUAUAAUUUCUAUUCCUUUGUAUGUUGGAUGUAAGUAUUCAAAACACAACUAAAGUGUUAAAGUCUUCUGUGGGUUUCUCCAAAGCACCUCUUUCUUUUCUCUGUUUCUCUUUCUUUCUCCUUCUUUCCUUCCUUCCUCCCUUUGCUUCCCUUCCUUUUUCUUCCCUUUCCUUUUCCUUUUCCUUCCUUCCUUCUUUCCUUCCUUCCUUUCUUCCUUUCUUCCUUUCUUUAUUUGAGACAGGUUCUCACUCUCUUGCCUAGGCUGGAGCGUCAUGGUACAAUCAUAGCUCACUGCAGGUUGGUACUUCUGUGCUCAGGCAAUCCUCCCACUUCUGCUUCUUGAGUAGCUGGGAUUAAACGCUCCUGUCACCAUGCUCUGCUAAUUUUUUUUCUGCAGAGACAGGGUCUCUCCAUGUUGUCCAGGCUGCUCUGAAACUUCUGGGCUCAAGCGAUCCUCCCACCUUAGCCUCUGGUGGGAUCCAGGACCCCUCUUAAGGAGGCCUGACCCUAGCCACCAUCCCUCCUUGGCAGAGCCUUCACAGGAUGUGAGAUCACUCAGGCCAGCACACUUGCAUGAGUGCAGCUUCAGUUGGGAACUGAGUUUGGUCAGAAAGUCAAAGUGUUUGGUUCCUUUGUUGCUUUUAGCUCAAGUAGUCCCUGGGCUAUUUGCCCACUGUUGUUACCUCUGCCUGCCACACAUUAAGGACCCCAGAGCCACAUUGAUGAAUAAGCUGAGAGUGUGUUUUGUGGUGGAUGAUGGGGUAUUUGCUUUAUUGGAAACUUCCCAGUUUUGUACUGUCCAUUAUGGGCACUCUGGGAUAAAUCCUGGAGAUCCCUAAGGGCCCCAGCAAUGGAAAAUGCUCUGCUGAACCAUGGGACCUGGACAGUUUAUUAACAUCUUCCACCUAAGUGCCCUCAGCUCUAAAUGAAUGCACUAAUACCCCGUAUACUUCAUGGGAUUUACAAUGUUUGUCCCCUGCCACAGCUGGUACUGCUGCAGUAGAUUUAUGCUGCACAAAUGCUGUGAGCCUUCUGCCUGGGGAACCCCCGCAAAAGGUCCCAACAGGAGUCUGUGGACCAUUGCCAGCAGGGACGAUAGGAUUACUUCUAGUAAGGUCUAGUUUAAAUUUAAAAGGGAUACAAGUACGAACAGGAGUCAUUGAUUCAGAUUACAAUGUGGAAAUUCAAAUUGUUAUAUCCACUUCUGUUCCCUGGAAAGCAGAGCCAGGAGAGCUUAUAGCACAGCUCCUGAUUGUGCCGUAUGUGGAAAUACGGAAAAGUUAAAUUAAACGAACAGGAGGAUUUGAAAGCACAAAUAAACAAGGCAAAGAAGCUUAUUGGGUAAAUCAAAUUACUGAUAAACAUCUUACCUGUGAAAUAACUAUUCAGGGAAAGAAAUUUAAAGGUUUGGUAGAUACAGGAGCAGACAUUUCAAUCAUUUCUCUACAGCACUGGCUGUUUGCGUGGCCAAUUCAACCCGCUCAAUUUAACAUAGUUGGAGUUGGUAAAGCCCCUGAAGUAUAUCAAAGUAGUUAUAUUUUGCAUUGUGAAGGCCCGAUGGACAACCUGGGACUAUUCAACCAAUUAUAACUUCUGUACCUACAAAUUUAUGGGGAAGAGAUUUAUUACAACAAUGGGGAGCACAAGUUCUAUUUCCAGAACAAUUAUAUAGCCCUCAAAGUCAACAUAUGAUGCAUGAAAUGGGGCAUGUCCCUGGUGUGGGACUAGGAAAAAAAAUUGCAAGGUUUAAAGGAACCGCUUCAAGCAGAAAGACAAAGUUUCCGCCAAGGUUUAGGAUAUCAUUUUUAAUGGCGGCCACUGUUAAGCCUCCAGAACCUAUACCUUUAAAAUGCUUAACAGAUAAGCCAAUUUGGAUAGAACAAUGGCCGCUAAGUAAAGAGAAACUGGAGGCUUUAGAGGAACUAGUUACUGAACAAUCAGAAAAUAGGCACAUAGCGCCAGCAUUUUCCCCUUGGAAUUCUCCAGUUUUCAUAAUUAAGAAAAAAUCGGGUAAAUGGAGAAUGUUAACUGACUUAAUACCUAUCAAUUCAGUUAUACAACCUAUGGGAGCAUUACAGCCUCCUGGAUUGCCUUCUCCUGCUAUAAUUCCAAAAAAUUGGCCUUUAAUUGUCACAGAUUUAAAGGACUGUUUCUUUACUAUCACUUUAGCUAAGCAAGACUGUGAAUGGUUUACAUUUACAAUUCCUGCAGUAAACAACCUGCAGCCUGCUAAGCAUUUUCAUUGUUUCACAGAUGGGUCUAGUAAUGGUAAAGCUUCUUAUUCUGGCUCAAAAGUUAAAGUUUUCCAGACACCCUGUACUUCAGCUCUAACAGCAGAGCUUGUAGCUGUAAUUGAGGUAUUGACUGCUUUUAAUAUGUCUAUUAAUAUGAUUUCUGAUUCUUCAUCCGUGGUUCAUUCCACACAGUUAAUUGAAAAUGCUCAGUUACAAUUUCAAACAGAUGACACUAAUGACUUUAUUUACACAGUUGCAAAUAGCAGUUAGGAGUAGAAUGCACACUUUUUACAUCACUCACAUUAGGGCUCAUACACCUCUUCCAGGACCUUUGACUGAAGGGAAUCAAAUGGCUGAUCACUUAGUUGCUAAAGCAAUAUCUACUGCUAGACAUUUUCACAAUUUAACCCAUGUUAAUGCCUCUGGUCUGAAACACAGAUACAGCAUUACCUGGAAAGAAGCUAAAGCUAUUAUCCAGUGAUGCCCAACUUGCCAAAUGGUGCAUUGCUCAUCUUUUGCAGCAGGAGUUAAUCCCCAAGGAUUGGAACCUAAUUAUCUUUGGCAAAUGGAUGUCACACGUUACAUGUAUGUGUGCACACCUUUUCUCACUUUGCAUAACAAAAGGUUGGGAAAUAGGUAAAAUAAUAACUUGGGGUAGAGGUUAUGCUUCUGUUUCUCCAGGCCAAAAUCAAGAGCUGAUUUGGAUACCAUCAAGAUACCUGAAACCUUAUCAUGAGCCAGAUGCUGAGGAAGAGAUUCCAGGAGGAUCCUGAGGACCCCCUGGUUGCAGCCAUCUCGAGACUGAUGCUGAGGAGGACCCCAACUGUCACGAACAACACCCAUCGAACACAGCCACCCACUUGGGGACAGAUCAAGAAGCUGUCACAGAUGGCAGAAGAAAACCUGAGGAAAGCAGGACAACCAGUCACAUCUGCAGAUGUGGAUCCUGACUCCUGCAAGAAGUAGCUCACCGUGACAAAGCUGCCUUUACUUUUAUCACUUUGCAAAUCAAAGAAGGGGGACACGUUGGGACUAGGCCCCCAAAAUCUGGCCAUAAAUUGGCCCCAAAACUGGCCAUAAACAAAAUCUCUGCAGCACUGUGACAUGUUUGUGAUGGUCAUGACGCCCAUGCUGGAAGAUUGUGGGUUUACCGGAAUGAGGGCAAGGAACACCUGGACCACCCAGGGCGGAAAACCACUUAAAGGUGUUCUUAAACCACAAAAAAUAGCAUGAGCGAUCUGUCCCUUAAGGACAUGCUCCUGCUGCAGAUAACUAGCCAGACCCAUCCCUUUAUUUUGGCCCAUCCCUUUGUUUCCCGUAAGGAAUACUUUUAGUUAAUCUAUAAUCUAUAGACACAAUGCUCAUCACUGGCUUGCUGUCAAUAAAUAUGUGGGUAAAUCUGUUUGAGGCUUUCAGCUCUGAAGGCUGUGAGACCCAUGAUUUCCCACUCCACACCUCUAUAA